RNAcentral lists this ribosomal RNA (253 nucleotides) under uncultured bacterium. Its description in RNAcentral is "partial 16S ribosomal RNA". It matches the Rfam family "Bacterial small subunit ribosomal RNA", at positions 524 to 776 of the family's 1533-position model. The record is from RNAcentral.
UACGGGGGGGGCAAGCGUUGUUCGGAAUUACUGGGCGUAAAGGGCUCGUAGGCGGCCAACUAAGUCAGACGUGAAAUCCCUCGGCUUAACCGGGGAACUGCGUCUGAUACUGGAUGGCUUGAGGUUGGGAGAGGGAUGCGGAAUUCCAGGUGUAGCGGUGAAAUGCGUAGAUAUCAAGAGGAACACCUGCGGCGAAGGCGGGUUGCUGGGCCGACACUGACGCUGAGGCGCGAAAGCCAGGGGAGCGAACGGG